This 460-nucleotide ribosomal RNA is filed under the name uncultured bacterium. Its description in RNAcentral is "partial 16S ribosomal RNA". It matches the Rfam family "Bacterial small subunit ribosomal RNA", at positions 338 to 795 of the family's 1533-position model. The record is from RNAcentral.
CCUACGGGAGGCAGCAGUGAGGAAUAUUGGUCAAUGGACGAGAGUCUGAUCCAGCCAAGUCGCGUGAAGGAUGACUGCCCUAUGGGUUGUAAACUUCUUUUAUAUGGGAAUAAAAUGUUCCACGUGUGGGAUUUUGUACGUACCAUAUGAAUACGGAUCGGCUAACUCCGUGCCAGCAGCCGCGGUAAUACGGAGGAUCCGAGCGUUAUCCGGAUUUAUUGGGUGUAAAGGGAGCGUAGGUGGAUUGUUAAGUCAGUUGUGAAAGUUUGGGGCUCAACCGUGAAAUUGCAGUUGAAACUGGCAGGCUUGAGUACAGUAGAGGUAGGCGGAAUUCGUGGUGUAGCGGUGAAAUGCUUAGAUAUCACGAAGAACUCCGAUUGCGAAGGCAGCUCACUGGACUGCAACUGACGCUGAGGCUCGAAGGUGUGGGUAGCAAACAGGAUUAGAUACCCCAGUAGUC